This 303-nucleotide long non-coding RNA is filed under the name Mustela putorius furo (domestic ferret). Its description in RNAcentral is "lncRNA (ENSMPUG00000030108.1)". The record is from RNAcentral. Lineage: Eukaryota; Metazoa; Chordata; Mammalia; Carnivora; Mustelidae.
UUGCACUUUCAGGUCUCAGUGAAGUGACAACAUAUGAGUGGGAGAAAAUACUUGCAAAAUACAUCUGAUAAAAGAGAGUGCUGUGUCGGAAGUGGGUUCUGAUACUUCCAUAAUAAGAGCAGAACUCAUUGGAAACAACAUGCCAUCCUGAUGCAACCAGUAUUGCAACAUAAUUAUCAUUUCUGAGAGGGUAUCUGUUCUAAAUUUGUGAUUUUCUCUUUAUUAAGGAGAAGGGGCAAGAAUCUAAUUGAAGCAUCUCAAGAGAAUAUUUUCAUGUUGGACUGUAUUUCCCCCCAUCCUCUC